UUGAAAUACUAGUUGCUAUACAAACACCAAAGUUAAGCAAUGUCGAGCCUAGUCAGUACCCAGAUGGGUGACCACUUGGGAAUACCAGGUGCUGUGA
Molecule: non-coding RNA, 97 nt
Organism: Acanthosepion pharaonis
Lineage: Eukaryota; Metazoa; Mollusca; Cephalopoda; Sepiida; Sepiidae
Source: the annotation of a GenBank genome assembly